Molecule: ribosomal RNA, 458 nt
Filed under: uncultured bacterium
Lineage: Bacteria
Description: partial 16S ribosomal RNA
Rfam family: Bacterial small subunit ribosomal RNA
Source: RNAcentral
CUACGGGGUGCUGCAGUGAGGAAUAUUGGUCAAUGGGCGCGAGCCUGAACCAGCCAUCCCGCGUGCAGGAUGACGGCCCUAUGGGUUGUAAACUGCUUUUCUAUGCCAAGAAACCUGAUUACGUGUAAUCAGUUGCCGGUAGCAUAGGAAUAAGCAUCGGCUAACUCCGUGCCAGCAGCCGCGGUAAUACGGAGGAUGCAAGCGUUAUCCGGAUUCAUUGGGUUUAAAGGGUGCGCAGGUGGGCUUGUAAGUCAGUGGCGAAAUGCUGCCGCUUAACGGUAGAACUGCCAUUGAUACUCGAGUCUUGAGUAUGGUUGAGGUAGGCGGAAUGUGUUGUGUAGCGGUGAAAUGCAUAGAUAUGACACAGAACGCCAAUUGCGAAGGCAGCUUACUAAGCCAUUACUGACGCUGAGGCACGAAAGCGUGGGGAGCGAACAGGAUUAGAUACCCGCGUAGUC